Molecule: RNA transcript, 1292 nt
Organism: Odobenus rosmarus divergens (Pacific walrus)
Lineage: Eukaryota; Metazoa; Chordata; Mammalia; Carnivora; Odobenidae
Gene name: probable helicase with zinc finger domain-like
Exons: 1
Source: RefSeq, a predicted model, not a curated record
AAGAUGGUGUAGAAAGUAAUGACAGGAAUUGGACGAAGUAAUUGAUCACUAAAGAACUACAGUGCUGGUGAGAUGUGUAAGAAAUUAUAAAGAGCUCUGAUGGGCUAUUUGGGUGAUACCCAGUGCAGUGAACUGCAGGAUUUUUGUCCCUGAGUCAUGGAAGACAGAAGAGCUGAGAAGUCAUGUGAACAAGCGUGUGAAUCACUUAAGAGGCAGGACUAUGAAAUGACCCUCAAGCACUGCACAGAGGCCCUCCUUUCUCUUGGCCAGUACUCCAUGGCCGACUUCACAGGGCCAUGUCCACUGGAGAUAGAAAGCAUCAAAAUUGAGAGUCUUCUUUACAGAAUUGCCUCAUUUUUGCAACUGAAAAACUAUGGGCAAGCUGAUGAAGAUUGUAGGCAUGUGCUGGGAGAAGGCCUGGCCAAGGGAGAUGGUGCCUUUCAGGCAGUGCUUUGCUGCGUGCAACUGAAAGGAAAGCUUCAACUGGUAUCCAACAUUCUUGCCAAGUCACUGACAGGAGAGUCCCUGAAUGGGAUGGUAACAAAGGAUUUGACAAGACUAAAAACACUUCUCACAGAAACAGAGACAGCAACUAGUAACGUCCUCUCUGGAUAUCACGUGGAAGACUUGGAAGGGGGAUCUUGUAAUGGUUGGCAUUUCCACCCACCACCUAGGGGAAUCACAAGCAGCGAGGAAUAUACUUUGUGUCAAAGAUUUUUAGAGCAAGGAAUCUGUAGGUAUGGUGCGCAGUGUACUUCAGCACAUUCCCAGGAAGAACUAGCAGAAUGGCAGAAAAGAUAUGCUUCACGCUUGAUAAAAUUGAAACAGCAAAAUGAGAAUAAACAGCUCUCAGGCAGUUACAUGGAAACCUUGAUAGAAAAGUGGAUGAAUUCAUUAUCUCCUGAGAAAGUGCUUAGUGAAUGUAUAGAAGGAGUAAAAGUAGAGCAUAAUCCUGAUCUGUCGGUUACUGUCAACACCAAAAAAUCUCACCAGACAUGGACCUUUGCUCUUACUUGUAAGAUCUUGAAUACCUGAUGCAUGCAAAACAACAGCUAGUAACCACAGCUAAGCGUUGGGAUUCUUCUUCUAAGACUAUUGUAGAUUUUGAACCUAAUGAAACUACUGAUUUGGAGAAGAGCCUUCUUAUCAGAUACCAAAUUCCUCUCUCUGCUGACCAGCUGUUUACCCAGUCCGUUUUAGACAAAUCAUUGACCAAGACCAACUAUCAGUCACGGCUGCAUGACCUUCUUUAUAUUGAGGAGAUAGCCCAGUAUAAAGAAGUCAGCAAGUAA